Molecule: unclassified non-coding RNA, 255 nt
Filed under: Hevea brasiliensis (rubber tree)
Lineage: Eukaryota; Viridiplantae; Streptophyta; Magnoliopsida; Malpighiales; Euphorbiaceae
Source: RNAcentral
GCACCAGCGGCACGUGAACGAAACUGGCGAUGCGAGGGCCGACUUUCGUUGGUUCCCGCCUUUCGGAAUCAUGCCGUGCCCGCGUGGCCUCGAUGGCGCGCCAGCUCAGAUAGUUGCAGAGGUAGUAUCCAGCGCUCAACGAGGCGCGGGCAUCUAUCCCGGUCUGUUGGGCGGCGCGCAGCAGCUNNNNNNNNAGGUGUGCGGUCCGAAACGGCGCGUCGAAUCCGAGCCCGCAACGAUAGUCCGGCUGCGAAC